Molecule: ribosomal RNA, 559 nt
Filed under: uncultured bacterium
Lineage: Bacteria
Description: bacterial SSU rRNA
Rfam family: Bacterial small subunit ribosomal RNA
Source: RNAcentral
CGGAAUCUACCUUUUCGUGGGGGAUAACGUAGGGAAACUUACGCUAAUACCGCAUACGACCUUCGGGUGAAAGCAGGGGACCUUCGGGCCUUGCGCGGAUAGAUGAGCCGAUGUCGGAUUAGCUAGUUGGCGGGGUAAAGGCCCACCAAGGCGACGAUCCGUAGCUGGUCUGAGAGGAUGAUCAGCCACACUGGAACUGAGACACGGUCCAGACUCCUACGGGAGGCAGCAGUGGGGAAUAUUGGACAAUGGGCGCAAGCCUGAUCCAGCCAUACCGCGUGGGUGAAGAAGGCCUUCGGGUUGUAAAGCCCUUUUGUUGGGAAAGAAAAGCAGUCGGCUAAUACCCGGUUGUUCUGACGGUACCCAAAGAAUAAGCACCGGCUAACUUCGUGCCAGCAGCCGCGGUAAUACGAAGGGUGCAAGCGUUACUCGGAAUUACUGGGCGUAAAGCGUGCGUAGGUGGUUGUUUAAGUCUGUUGUGAAAGCCCUGGGCUCAACCUGGGAAUUGCAGUGGAUACUGGGCGACUAGAGUGUGGUAGAGGGUAGUGGAAUUCCCGGU